Molecule: long non-coding RNA, 637 nt
Organism: Phlebotomus papatasi
Lineage: Eukaryota; Metazoa; Arthropoda; Insecta; Diptera; Psychodidae
Exons: 3
Source: RefSeq, a predicted model, not a curated record
CUUGUAAUAUUUACUUUUGGUGCAAUUAUUGCGUAAAUAUCUAUUUACAUGUUCUGUAAUUAAAUAUAGAACCGUUAAGUGAGAAGUUGAUAUGUGAGAAAAAGAAUUAAUCCAAAAAAUAGUCGAAAUUGCAACAAAAUUCAAUUGCAAGUUACACAGCACCUCACCCAUCUCGCCAAUUUUGCACAUAGUUAUUUCUUGAUAAUUUUAUUUUUUUUUUACAGUUUUGGCGAAUAGAAACCCAAUUUCAGAGAUUUUUUUCUGAUGGAAUUGCAGCGGUACAUGUAGACAGAAUUUGACCGAGACACCUUGGGGCUGCUCCAACAGGGCACACAUGACUCCUCGUGACGAAAUCCUUAUAGAGUUUGACAGCAUCGCUUUGAACUAACUGAAAACCUGGUUCAGUUAGAACUUUGGGCCAAUCUCUUAUAAUUCGAAAUGGAAUUUGCUUCUGCAUACAGGACCCGCCGUGUUUGAAUAGCCAGGCCUCAAAGCAGUUUCCAAAUGACUUGAUUCAAAGAUCUUGGUAUGUCUUCUUGGUCUGAUCCACAAGACUUUGCCACUCGGGCUCUUCGAGAAUAAACUUACGAUGAAGUAAAACGGAACUACUAUAGACUCCAACUUAACAAUUCUGAAG